GCUUAUAUAGUUUAAUUAAAACUUUAAUUUGUGGAUUUAACGAUGUGAAAUUUCACUUUAGGCC
Molecule: transfer RNA, 64 nt
Filed under: Tetrix japonica
Lineage: Eukaryota; Metazoa; Arthropoda; Insecta; Orthoptera; Tetrigidae
Also listed under: 1 other name
Description: tRNA-His
Source: RNAcentral